UACGGAGGGUGCAAGCGUUGUUCGGAAUUAUUGGGCGUAAAGAGCGUGUAGGCGGCCGGGUAAGUCAGAUGUGAAAUCCUUCUGCUUAGCAGAAGAAGUGCAUUUGAUACUGUCCGGCUUGAGUACGGGAGAGGAAAGUGGAAUUCCCGGUGUAGAGGUGAAAUUCGUAGACAUCGGGAGGAACACCGGUGGCGAAGGCGGCUUUCUGGUCCGAUACUGACGCUGAGACGCGAAAGCGUGGGGAGCAAACAGG
Molecule: ribosomal RNA, 253 nt
Filed under: uncultured bacterium
Lineage: Bacteria
Description: partial 16S ribosomal RNA
Rfam family: Bacterial small subunit ribosomal RNA
Source: RNAcentral